GGUGGUGCAGUUUUAUAACAAAGGAACUCGAAUGAAAGCUGGGGAAUGUAUAUACAGUGUAUAUUCGAUAUUAGUUGGCUUCUGCAAUCGAAAAUCCUAUAAACAUUUAAAAGUCCUAUUAAAACUCGCAAAUAGAAUUUAUUAAAGAAUAUACAUAUAAAGCAUUUCGCAUACCACAAUUUUUAACAAUUUUAAUAACAAUUUGUAUAUUGCAGUACCAUUUUAGGUAUAAAUACAAUGUACCACGUGCCCACUGUAGCCUCCAAUGCACUUCCCCUGCGCGUGGCUGUGUGAGUGCAUGUGCAUGUGGGUGAGGAAGAGGAAGCAGGAAGCAGCAGCAGCAGCGUCUCGGCGGAGUGUCGCCCCCUUUUAGUGCCCCCUUUUCGGCGGCGGCGCCACUGUGCGAGAGAAACGGCAACAAAAACUGCUGCCGCUGUCGCUGCCACUGCCGACGGCGACGUCCGACGCCGACGUCUGCGAAUAAAAUUCGCGCAUUUGGCUCUUGAUUUGCCGCAGACAUUGAGCAUUUGAUCGCCAACAACCGGCAAACGCGGUUCGCUCACUUCGCAGCUUUCCUGGCAUUCGCCACUCUGGCCUUUUGCCGAUUUUCGGUUUAUCUCUAUCUCUGUGGGCAGGAAAAUCGGAAUCGAAUCGGCCCGGCCCGGCCAUAUAAAAUAAAAGGCCAGACAGUUUCUGGGCUUUGGCACAGUCGUUCGUUUCGCACCAAAUAGGAGACAACAACGUGGGAGAAAAGAGAGCGAGCCACUAGAGAAAAAUAAAUAUUCAAAGAAAAAUAGUUAACGCGCGUGUUGGUGUGCGUGUGUGUGUGUGUGGUGCGUGCGUGUGUGAGAGGCAAAGCCAAGGAAAAAUGCAACGGAAGUUUUCAGUCGCAAAAAAAAAGACGAAAAAUCGCAAAACGGAACUGAAACAUAUUGUGAAAUUCGAGCGACAGAGAAAGCGAUACAUCAACGUGGUUUCUGGAGCUUCUGGGUUUUUCUACCACCAGGAAUUAAAGAACGUGAAAGAACGCAGAAAAGAGAUGGGUAGAAAGAAGAGCGAGGUUUAUUUUUAGCAUUUUGAUAUCACAAGGCAGCUUUUUUUUCGCUACACUACGAGAAAAAAAUGACGCAAACGGUGACCACAUGAUUCUACAUAUUUCCAUAUAACCGACCCAUACAGACGUAGCUUUUUUGGGGAACUUUUUGUCGCUCAAAUAUUAAUUUUAGAUUUUUUUUUACCCAGACAAAGCUCAUUGUGCAAGUGUGUUGGUGUAUGAUCGAAUUUUGAGUAGAAACUUCCAUUUCUUUUCUUUUUUCAUUGCUCAGGGUUAAGGGCAACAACAAAAAACGAUGGCUCGGCUAGGAAAAAGCAUGUGCUGCAUUUUUGCUGCUGCAAAAAAAUAGAGAGGAGCGAGGAGACACCCACACAGACAUACACACACAUACACAAGCGAAGACAGUCGGUUUUUUGAGGUUAGGAAUGCCCCACCCAAGCAAUGGCUGCUCAUUUAUGUACUGCACAUAUAUACGAAAAUAUAUGUACAUAUAUAAAACCGUCUGUAGCGCAGAAAUUCGCCAUUAUUCACAGUCCAAAGCUGUUCGCGAUCGCAGGUUUAUGAGGCGUGUUGUAAAAAAAAAAGAAGCCAGUCGCGCAAAGGUAGUUAAAAAAUACUUUUGCAAAAAUUUAAAUACCCACACAGCUUUGAGAGAAUUCGCGAAUGUAUGGAAGGCACGUGUGUGUCUCAGCUGAAUUGUGUGCCUAUGUGCGAGAGUGUGUGUGUGAGCGAUCACGCACGUAGCUGCGCGUUUCAAAUAUAGAAUAUCAAGGGUCUGCCGGACGAAGCGCAAGAAAAAGAGAAUUUGCUGAAUGAAAUGUAAUAAUUCGCCGACGGAUGACGUCACGUCCUAUGUGGUCAUUAGCACUCCAGAGGCGCAACGGGGUGCCAAUUCUACCCCCUGAAUGAGUUGGUAAAACGCUUGACAAUCGAACAAAAUUAACACACAAAUUUCAGAACUUUGAAGAGUGGAACAAGACUACAGAUUGGAAAACCCCUUAAAGAUAACUAUAGAUACGCCCCUGGUUCCAGUUUUCUGCUCUCAUAUGACUAAUUUUGGCAUUGUUAUUGCAUAAAAUUCGCAUGGCGUCAUCAUCAUCAACGCGUACAACUACAAAGCUCGCAGAGAUCGUUAACCCCAAAGCGGAGACCUAAUACCAGGCACAAGGUCGCCUCCCAUGACCCCCCUCCCCAGAAGGGGGUCGCCAUUCGUUGAUGCAGUUUUGUUGCCAGGCGGCGGCUAAACAUCUGUCUCAGAACUGCAAAUGGUGAAAAAGAAACCUGACUGGGCUUGGCCUGGCUUUAUAUCUACAUCUUCAACUCCAGCCACAGCUCCUACUCGUUAUAUGCGAUGAUGUUCCCCCGACUGAACAGAGUCUCCUACCUUGCGCGCUAAUCAGUGACCGGGGCUGGUUUUUUAUAUACAGUCAGGUACCUGAAGUAGCGCGCGUGGUGCCAGACAUAUAUCUCCAACUCCACGAUAUAUAAAUAAGCCAAAAGCUCGCAGGCGAGUCCUCCAAAGAAACCCCAUGUGUAUCAACUGUCUCCCAUGUCUAUUGUACUUCAUCAGGUGCUCUGGUGUGGCCCGUAACCCGGCACAUGUUGAAGUACACUCAAUAUGAGGCGAUUUGCAUACGAAAGCGACCAAUACAAGUGUUUACCGAUUACCUAAAUUAAAGAUUAGUAAAAUA
Molecule: long non-coding RNA, 2745 nt
Organism: Drosophila yakuba
Lineage: Eukaryota; Metazoa; Arthropoda; Insecta; Diptera; Drosophilidae
Exons: 2
Source: RefSeq, a predicted model, not a curated record